Molecule: ribosomal RNA, 1075 nt
Filed under: Bacillus paralicheniformis
Lineage: Bacteria; Bacillati; Bacillota; Bacilli; Caryophanales; Bacillaceae
Description: bacterial SSU rRNA
Rfam family: Bacterial small subunit ribosomal RNA
Source: RNAcentral
CAGUCGAGCGGACAGAUGGGAGCUUGCUCCCUGAUGUUAGCGGCGGACGGGUGAGUAACACGUGGGUAACCUGCCUGUAAGACUGGGAUAACUCCGGGAAACCGGGGCUAAUACCGGAUGCUUGAUUGAACCGCAUGGUUCAAUUAUAAAAGGUGGCUUUUAGCUACCACUUACAGAUGGACCCGCGGCGCAUUAGCUAGUUGGUGAGGUAACGGCUCACCAAGGCAACGAUGCGUAGCCGACCUGAGAGGGUGAUCGGCCACACUGGGACUGAGACACGGCCCAAACUCCUACGGGAGGCAGCAGUAGGGAAUCUUCCGCAAUGGACGAAAGUCUGACGGAGCAACGCCGCGUGAGUGAUGAAGGUUUUCGGAUCGUAAAACUCUGUUGUUAGGGAAGAACAAGUACCGUUCGAAUAGGGCGGUACCUUGACGGUACCUAACCAGAAAGCCACGGCUAACUACGUGCCAGCAGCCGCGGUAAUACGUAGGUGGCAAGCGUUGUCCGGAAUUAUUGGGCGUAAAGCGCGCGCAGGCGGUUUCUUAAGUCUGAUGUGAAAGCCCCCGGCUCAACCGGGGAGGGUCAUUGGAAACUGGGGAACUUGAGUGCAGAAGAGGAGAGUGGAAUUCCACGUGUAGCGGUGAAAUGCGUAGAGAUGUGGAGGAACACCAGUGGCGAAGGCGACUCUCUGGUCUGUAACUGACGCUGAGGCGCGAAAGCGUGGGGAGCGAACAGGAUUAGAUACCCUGGUAGUCCACGCCGUAAACGAUGAGUGCUAAGUGUUAGAGGGUUUCCGCCCUUUAGUGCUGCAGCAAACGCAUUAAGCACUCCGCCUGGGGAGUACGGUCGCAAGACUGAAACUCAAAGGAAUUGACGGGGGCCCGCACAAGCGGUGGAGCAUGUGGUUUAAUUCGAAGCAACGCGAAGAACCUUACCAGGUCUUGACAUCCUCUGACAACCCUAGAGAUAGGGCUUCCCCUUCGGGGGCAGAGUGACAGGUGGUGCAUGGUUGUCGUCAGCUCGUGUCGUGAGAUGUUGGGUUAAGUCCCGCAACGAGCGCAACCCUUGAUCUUAG